This 29-nucleotide non-coding RNA is filed under the name Rattus norvegicus (Norway rat). The record is from RNAcentral. Lineage: Eukaryota; Metazoa; Chordata; Mammalia; Rodentia; Muridae.
UGCACCCUGCCAAAAUACAGAGGUCGCCC